This is a long non-coding RNA of Oncorhynchus tshawytscha (Chinook salmon), 1257 nucleotides long. Lineage: Eukaryota; Metazoa; Chordata; Actinopteri; Salmoniformes; Salmonidae. The record is from Ensembl.
AAGACAGGCUCCCCCAGGCUAGUGGAGAUUACAGUUUGGUUUAUACCCAGUCAGACGGUGUUGUCCACAGCGUGAACAUUCAAAUCUAAAAAUAGAACAAACCAGAGCAUUGUUAUUGGUGAGGAAGAGGGGUUCAUUAUUUUCUUUCAUCUUUAAGAAUUAUGUGUAAUUUUCCGUUCAAAGCUCUGCUCUGGUCUGAGGUGAUUUGAUCUUGAGAAAGCGACUGCAUGUGCCUCCUGUGGCUCUAAUGGUUCUGAUGUGAAAUUCUUUAAAGGGAUAUUUGUAACAUUUUCAGCUUCAUAUUCAUCAUCUCCAGCACCACCCCAACAUCAACAUAUGUGAAAAUGUCACGUUUCUAUUUUUUGUAGUAAAAAAAAGAUGGAAGUGAAAUGUUUCCAGUGACAUCAUCGGUGUGCAUCGUGAUUUUAACCAAUUAUGAGGAAGUAUUGCCAAUUUCCAAUUAAUUGUGUACUAAUUGGAAACUAUCUUUCUGACUACAGAAAUGUGCAAUUUUGGGGUGGUGCUGGAGGUGAGGAAUAUGAAGUUGAGAAAGGGGUGGUACUGGAGAUGAGGGAUAUGAAGUUGAGAAAGGGGUGGUGCUGGAAAUGAGGGAUAUGAAGUUGAGAAAGGGGUGGUGCUGGAGGUGAGGAAUAUGAAGUUGAGAAAGGGGUGGUGCUGGAGGUGAGGAAUAUGAAGUUGAGAAAGGGGUGGUGCUGGAGAUGAGGGAUAUGAAGUUGUGAAAGGGGUGGUACUGGAGAUGAGGGAUAUGAAGUUGUGAAAGGGGUGGUACUGGAGAUGAGGAAUAUGAAGUUGAGAAAGGGUGGUGCUGGAGAUGAGGAAUAUGAAUUGAGAAAGGGGUGGUGCUGGAGGUGAGGAAUAUGAAGUUGAGAAAGGGGUGGUGCUGGAGGUGAGGAAUAUGAAGUUGAGAAAGGGGUGGUGCUGGAGGUGAGGGAUAUGAAGUUGAGAAAGGGGUGGUGCUGGAGGUGAGGGAUAUGAAGUUGAGAAAGGGGGAAAUGUCCUUUUAAUAUAUUGAUUUUGAACAACACCUGGAUACCUUGGCUUGAAGACAGACUGACUAAAUUAAACCCAAUCUAGGAUUUUACCUAAAUCUUUCAGUCUUUUCAAAUAUUUUAUAGAAAAAUGAAAGCUAAACGUUUGCUGUGAUUCAUAACAUUUUGCUCGAUGAAAUUCAACAGUAAUUCAUGUCUAGAGACCAAUUAGUUUGAUGUGUUCUGAGCGUGUGAGGAUGUGUUGUCG